GCCGCUUUAGCUCAGCUGGUAGAGCAACUGAUUUGUAAUCAGUAGGUCGCUGGUUCGAUUCCGGCAAGCGGCU
Molecule: non-coding RNA, 73 nt
Organism: Chitinophagaceae bacterium
Lineage: Bacteria; Pseudomonadati; Bacteroidota; Chitinophagia; Chitinophagales; Chitinophagaceae
Source: Rfam